CCAUGGGAUGAGCUGUGGAUAGCGGAGAAAUUCCAAUCGAACUCGGAGAUAGCUGGUUCUCCUCGAAAUAGCUUUAGGGCUAGCGUCGGGUAAUUGAGUAGUGGAGGUAGAGCACUGAAUGGGCUAGGGGCUGACAACAGUUACUGAACCCUAUCAAACUCCGAAUGCCAUAUACUUGUACCCCGGCAGUCAGACUACGAAUGAUAAGAUCCGUGGUCAAAAGGGAAACAGCCCAGACCAUCAGCUAAGGUCCCAAAGUGUAAGUUAAGUGGGAAAGGAUGUGGGAUUUCUAAGACAACUAGGAUGUUGGCUUAGAAGCAGCCACUCAUUUAAAGAGUGCGUAAUAGCUCACUAGUCGAGAGAUCCUGCGCCGAAGAUGUAACGGGGCUCAAACUUACCACCGAAGCUAUGGAUGUGUACUAUGUACACGUGGUAGAGGAGCUUUCUGUACAGGUUGAAGUCAUACCGUAAGGAGUGGUGGACAGUACAGAAGUGAGAAUGCUGGCAUAAGUAGCGAAAAACAAGUGAGAAUCUUGUUGACCGAAUAUCUAAGGUUUCCUGGGGAAGGCUCGUCCUCCCAGGGUUAGUCGGGACCUAAGCCGAGGCCGAAAGGCGUAGGUGAUGGACAACUGGUUGAUAUUCCAGUACCACCAUAAUGCGUUUGACAAAUGGGAUGACGCAGGAGGAUAGGAUGUGCGCACUAUUGGAUGUGCGUCUAAGCACUUAGGGUGUUAAGUAGGCAAAUCCGCUUAACAUUAAGCCUGAGGUGUGAUGGGGAGCCUAUUUUGGCGAAGUAUCUGAUUCCACGCUGCCAAGAAAAGUCUCUAUGGAGCAAAAUGGUGCCCGUACCGCAAACCGACACAGGUAGAUGAGGAGAGAAUCCUAAGGUCGUCGGAAGAAUUAUUGCUAAGGAACUCGGCAAAUUGACCCCGUAACUUAGGGAGAAGGGGUGCCUACGAGAGUAGGCCGCAGUGAAUAGGCUCAAGCAACUGUUUAUCAAAAACACAGGUCUCUGCUAAAGCGUAAGCUGAUGUAUAGGGGCUGACGCCUGCCCGGUGCUGGAAGGUUAAGGGGAAUAGUUAGCGCAAGCGAAGCUAUGAACUUAAGCCCCAGUAAACGGCGGCCGUAACUAUAACGGUCCUAAGGUAGCGAAAUUCCUUGUCGGGUAAGUUCCGACCCGCACGAAUGGCGUAAUGAUUUGAGCACUGUCUCGGCAAUAAAUCCGGUGAAAUUGUAGUGCAAGUGAAGAUGCUUGCUACCCGCGGUUGGACGGAAAGACCCCGUAGAGCUUUACUGUAGCUUAGCAUUGAAUUUCGGUAUUGUCUGUACAGGAUAGGUGGGAGACUUAGAAGCGAGGGCGUCAGCUUUCGUGGAGUCGUCCUUGGGAUACCACCCUGACAGUACUGGAAUUCUAACUGGAGGCCAUGAAUCUGGUCACAGGACAUUGCUAGGUGGGCAGUUUGACUGGGGCGG
RNAcentral lists this ribosomal RNA (1473 nucleotides) under Clostridium botulinum C/D. RNAcentral describes it as "partial 23S ribosomal RNA". It matches the Rfam family "Bacterial large subunit ribosomal RNA", at positions 797 to 2282 of the family's 2925-position model. Lineage: Bacteria; Bacillati; Bacillota; Clostridia; Eubacteriales; Clostridiaceae. The record is from RNAcentral.